CUGGCUCCUGGCUCCUGGCCCAAGCUCUGUCAUGAACUUGCAGGGUUUCCUUGGGCUGGUCCCAUUUCCCUGUCAUAUUUGACCAAGUUGGACCCAGCCGGUCAAUUGCACACUUGAACAAAAUGCUUUAUUUGAGCAGCAGAACCCUGACUUCAAAGGAGAGUUUACCAAGAACCCGAGUACAGAGACUGAAGAAGCAAAGCUCAUGAGGUUGAGAGUCCCACAGGAGAUGUUUGGAAGAAUUGCUUUGGAGGCCCAACGAGGGAGAAGAAUCACUGGCCAGGAAGCAUCCAGAAAGACUUCAUGGUACACUGGAGAAGAGCCUCGCAGCACAAGUGGGGCCCAGCAGGUGCAGAGGGAAGGAAGGACAUUUCUGGGGAGGGUAGAGCAUGAGGACAGGCUGUGUUCAUGGAACAUCUAUUGGUGGACUUGGGUGCAAAUGUAUCGAGAGAUGUUGGCAUGCCAUGACCGUCUUGAUAUUGCAGUUCUUGCUCGGUGAUGGGCAUGAAGCAGGCACAGAAGAACAACAUAACACGACACUGCAAAAUUAUAGCAGGGCGGAUAGUUAAUAUGUUAAGCUUUAUGGGCCCGGCAGUUUCUGUUGUGGCCGCUCAAGCCUGCCAUUCCAGAUGCAGAGGUACAGGUGAG
Molecule: long non-coding RNA, 648 nt
Organism: Zalophus californianus (California sea lion)
Lineage: Eukaryota; Metazoa; Chordata; Mammalia; Carnivora; Otariidae
Exons: 3
Source: RefSeq, a predicted model, not a curated record